RNA transcript from Mastomys coucha (southern multimammate mouse), 3737 nucleotides. It is a transcript of the gene named ATP/GTP binding protein like 5, with no coding region annotated. The transcript has 16 exons. The record is from RefSeq and is a predicted model, not a curated record. Lineage: Eukaryota; Metazoa; Chordata; Mammalia; Rodentia; Muridae.
CGGCCAAUAGGCAAGAGACUUCUUGUUUCCUGGCAGAGUGGGGUCCCGGCACCACGGCUCUCUGGUUUUGUGUGGGGCCCGGGUGGAGGGCCCGGGUGCCGGGGCCCGAGGUGCCGCCUCGCUAGCGGGAGAGGGAGCGGGAGCGAGAGCAGCGGCCCGGAGAGAGGUGAGGGGCUCUGCGUGGAGUGCGGCCCGCCGGCAGGCCCCGCCCCCUUCUCAGCCCGCUCCGCCGGAGCGCCCGUCGAAUGCCACCCCGCCCCCCCGACCUGCCGCGGCCCGCCGACCCCGCCUCCGGUUGACUCCCUCCGCUGCUUUGGCCUCACCUCUGACCCCUAGGACGGGCCUUCCCGUCCUCCAGUGUGUCUGCCUCGACCCCUCCCACGCCUCCAAACCCCACCCCAGCCUGGACAAGCCAGGCAGUGCGAGCGAGGGUCCUCGCGAACCGAGGAGCUGCCUGCUGCUUCCGAGCGGGACUCUACUGGCCCAGCCUUCCUAGGGGUGCUUAGGACGCCCGCCCGUUACCCACACCUUCGAGGGUAGCUUUUGCACGGGCUCGUGUCUACAGGGCGGGAGGAUGGAAACACACCCUAAUUGGAACUGAGGUUCAGGGCAGCUCUCAGGGCCUGUGUGGGGCAAGAGGAUGCUUUCCCAGUCCCACCAUGGAGCUGCGCUGUGGGGGAUUGCUGUUCAGUUCUCGCUUUGAUUCAGGGAACCUAGCCCAUGUCGAAAAAGUGGAGACUGUGCCUAGUGACGGGGAAGGCAUAGGAGGGGUGGCAACAGCCCCCACUAGUGGUUCUGCUUCUUCCCCUGACUACGAGUUCAAUGUGUGGACCCGGCCAGACUGUGCUGAAACAGAAUAUGAGAACGGGAACAGGUCAUGGUUCUACUUCAGUGUCCGGGGAGGAGCUCCAGGAAAGCUUAUCAAGAUCAACAUCAUGAACAUGAACAAGCAAAGCAAACUAUAUUCUCAGGGCAUGGCCCCCUUUGUGCGCACAUUGCCUUCCCGGCCACGCUGGGAACGCAUUAGAGAGCGGCCCACUUUUGAGAUGACAGAGACACAAUUUGUGCUAUCCUUUGUUCACCGUUUCGUAGAGGGCCGGGGAGCCACCACCUUCUUCGCCUUCUGCUACCCCUUCUCCUACAGUGACUGCCAGGAUUUGCUAAGCCAGCUAGACCAGCGCUUUCCAGAGAAUUACUCUACCCAUAGCAGUCCUCUGGAUAGCAUUUAUUACCACCGAGAGCUUCUCUGCUAUUCUCUGGAUGGACUUCGGGUAGAUCUACUAACAAUCACUUCCUGCCAUGGGCUUCGAGAUGAUCGGGAGCCCCGUCUAGAGCAGCUGUUUCCUGACCUCGGCACUCCCCGACCAUUCCGUUUCACAGGCAAAAGGAUAUUCUUCUUAAGCAGUAGGGUACACCCUGGAGAGACUCCAUCUAGCUUUGUGUUCAAUGGCUUUCUGGACUUCAUCCUUCGACCUGAUGACCCCCGGGCACAAACGCUCCGUCGCCUCUUUGUUUUUAAGUUGAUUCCCAUGUUAAACCCUGAUGGUGUGGUCCGGGGCCACUACCGCACAGACUCCCGUGGAGUGAAUCUGAACCGUCAGUACUUGAAGCCCGACGCCGUCCUGCACCCGGCCAUCUUUGGCGCCAAAGCUGUGCUGCUUUACCAUCAUGUGCACUCUCGGCUCAACUCCAAGAGUCCCUCGAACCAGCAGCCCACUCUUCCCUUUCCUCCAGAGGCUCCUCUUUCUGACCUCGAGAAAGCCAAUAAUCUCCACAAUGAAGCUCACCUCGGGCAGUCACCUGAUGGGGAGAACCCUGAGACUUGGACUGAGACAGAGCCAGUAGAAGAGAAGACUGACCCGGUGUGGAUUAUGUCACAGCCGAUUGCUGAACUUGAGGAGCCAGCUCCUGACACCAUCCCCCCAAAAGAGAGUGGUGUUGCUUACUAUGUAGACUUGCAUGGACAUGCUUCCAAAAGGGGCUGCUUCAUGUAUGGAAACAGCUUUAGUGAUGAGAGCACCCAGGUGGAAAACAUGCUAUAUCCAAAGCUCAUCUCCUUGAAUUCAGCCCACUUUGACUUCCAGGGCUGCAAUUUCUCAGAGAAGAACAUGUAUGCCCGAGACCGUAGAGAUGGCCAGUCCAAAGAGGGAAGUGGCCGCGUCGCAAUCUACAAAGCCUCAGGGAUAAUCCACAGCUACACACUUGAAUGCAACUACAACACUGGACGCUCGGUCAACAGCAUCCCUGCUGCCUGCCAUGACAAUGGGCGUGCCAGCCCCCCUCCCCCUCCGGCUUUCCCUUCCAGAUACACUGUGGAGCUGUUUGAGCAGGUAGGACGAGCUAUGGCCAUCGCAGCUCUGGAUAUGGCAGAAUGUAAUCCAUGGCCCCGAAUUGUGCUGUCGGAACACAACAGCCUCACCAACCUACGAGCCUGGAUGCUGAAGCAUGUGCGCAACAGCAGAGGUCUGACCAGUGCUGUGAACAUGGGUGUGAGCAAGAAGCGAGGAUCUCGAACUCCUCCCAAAAGCAACAACAGCUUGCCUGUUUCCUGCUCUGAGAAUGCUUUGAGCCGGGCUCGAAGCAUUAGCACCGGGGCGAGCACUGGUGGUAGCGGCAGCAGCCAACAGAAUUCUCCACAGAUGAAGAACUCUCCCAGCUUUCCUUUUCAUGGCAGUCGGACUGCAGGGCUGCCAGGCCUGGGCUCUAGCACCCAAAAGGUCAGCCAUCGGGUGUUGGGGCCUGUCAGAGAGCCCCGAUGCUCAGACAGAAGGCGGCGGCAGCAGCCACUGAACCAUCGCCCUGUUACUAGCAGCCUGGCCCCAUCCCCAACUCUGCCUAGUCCUGGCCCAACCUCCUCACGAAACAUGGGCUCCUGCCUCCUGCCCAAUUCACUCAGUUUAUCAGGGAGCAGCUGCCCAUUCUCGUCUUCAGGGGACAAGCCAGAGGCUGUCAUGGUGAUUGGGAAAAGCCUACUAGGGGCUGGUGCUCGGAUUCCCUGCAUUAGGACUCGUUUGCAGACCUGCCAGAGGAGAGUUUCCGCCAGGAGGGGUCCCGGAUUCCCCAGGCUAGGCCCAGGUUGGGCCGGAGCUCACCGCCGACUCGCAGAGGGAUGAGAGGCUCAAGCGCCACAUCCCCCAUCCCCCAGACCAGAGAGAGCAGUGAGCUGGAGCCGGGACCCCGCUCUGCUACACCAGGGCUGCCUCAGGCCGGCCCCCCACGGCCCCGCUCUGCCCCCGCCUUUUCUCCUAUUUCCUGUACUCUAUCUGACUCCCCAUCCCGGAUUUGUUACAGCAGGGGGCUCUUGAACCAAUGUGAGGUUUGUUUUGUCCCUAAGUCUCCACCACUCACUAUUUCUCCCAGGGUCUGAUAAUGCCUUUACCUCCGUGUCCAGCAUAUAGCCCUAAGGUGAGGGAACACAGUGAAAUGACACGUUAGUCCGUCUUCCAGCUGCUGGUACCAUGUGACAACCAUAGCUCCUUGGAAUGUCGGCCACACUGUCCGAGGCCUUGCAGAACAUCACCUUGAGACAGAACAAAACAGGGACCUGCUUCCCCCUUCCCUCCCUCCACAGCACAAGAUUUUGGGACCACAAAAUAUAUAUAUAUAUAAUCUAUAUUUUUGUAUGGGGGGGAGGGAGUAGAGAAGAAAGCAGCCCUAUCCUGGGCCCUAUUCAGUGGCAGCUGCUUGCUCCAUAGGGUUAAGGAAGGCUUUGAGGAAAUAAAAGUUGUUUGCAAAAA